This 472-nucleotide ribosomal RNA is filed under the name uncultured bacterium. Its description in RNAcentral is "SSU rRNA". It matches the Rfam family "Bacterial small subunit ribosomal RNA", at positions 26 to 518 of the family's 1533-position model. The record is from RNAcentral.
AGGAUAAACGCUGGCGGCGUGCCUAACACAUGCAAGUCGAACGCGCUUUCGUCUUCGGAGGAGAGCGAGUGGCGGACGGGUGAGUAACACAUGGGUACCUACCCCACAGUGAGGGAUACCGGCGAGAAAUCGCCGACAAUACCGCAUAGGCUUCUCUUUGGAGACGAGGAGAAGCAAAGUUGCGCAAGCGACGCUGAGGGAUGGGCCUGUGGCCGAUUAGCUAGUUGGGGGGUAACGGCCUCCCAAGGCUUCGAUCGGUAGCUGGUCUGAGAGGACGAUCAGCCACACUGGGACUGAGAUACGGCCCAGACUCCUACGGGAGGCAGCAGUGGGGAAUAUUGGACAAUGGGGGCAACCCUGAUCCAGCAAUGCCGCGUGAGUGAUGAAGGCCUUGGGUUGUAAAGCUCUUUCGGCGGGAAGAUGAUGACGGUACCCGCAGAAGAAGCCCGGCUAACUUCGUGCCAGCAGCCGC